UGUACAGCACAUGGAAAUCUGGGCUUUGAGUAGUGAUAAAUAUGCUUUAAUUCAAAAUGAAUCCCAGAGGUUUGUUUUCACUACUUUCAGACAAGGAAGGAUGCUGUGAUGACAAAGGAGAUGCAG
Molecule: long non-coding RNA, 126 nt
Organism: Malaclemys terrapin pileata
Lineage: Eukaryota; Metazoa; Chordata; Testudines; Emydidae
Exons: 3
Source: RefSeq, a predicted model, not a curated record